GGGUUGUGAGGUUAAGCGACUAAGCGUACACGGUGGAUGCCCUGGCAGUCAGAGGCGAUGAAGGACGUGCUAAUCUGCGAUAAGCGUCGGUAAGGUGAUAUGAACCGUUAUAACCGGCGAUUUCCGAAUGGGGAAACCCAGUGUGAUUCGUCACACUAUCAUUAACUGAAUCCAUAGGUUAAUGAGGCGAACCGGGGGAACUGAAACAUCUAAGUACCCCGAGGAAAAGAAAUCAACCGAGAUUCCCCCAGUAGCGGCGAGCGAACGGGGAGCAGCCCAGAGCCUGAAUCAGUGUGUGUGUUAGUGGAAGCGUCUGGAAAGGCGCGCGAUACAGGGUGACAGCCCCGUACACAAAAAUGCACAUACUGUGAGCUCGAUGAGUAGGGCGGGACACGUGGUAUCCUGUCUGAAUAUGGGGGGACCAUCCUCCAAGGCUAAAUACUCCUGACUGACCGAUAGUGAACCAGUACCGUGAGGGAAAGGCGAAAAGAACCCCGGCGAGGGGAGUGAAAAAGAACCUGAAACCGUGUACGUACAAGCAGUGGGAGCACAGAGCAAUCUGUGUGACUGCGUACCUUUUGUAUAAUGGGUCAGCGACUUAUAUUCUGUAGCAAGGUUAACCGAAUAGGGGAGCCGAAGGGAAACCGAGUCUUAACUGGGCGUUAAGUUGCAGGGUAUAGACCCGAAACCCGGUGAUCUAGCCAUGGGCAGGUUGAAGGUUGGGUAACACUAACUGGAGGACCGAACCGACUAAUGUUGAAAAAUUAGCGGAUGACUUGUGGCUGGGGGUGAAAGGCCAAUCAAACCGGGAGAUAGCUGGUUCUCCCCGAAAGCUAUUUAGGUAGCGCCUCGUGAAUUCAUCUCCGGGGGUAGAGCACUGUUUCGGCAAGGGGGUCAUCCCGACUUACCAACCCGAUGCAAACUGCGAAUACCGGAGAAUGUUAUCACGGGAGACACACGGCGGGUGCUAACGUCCGUCGUGAAGAGGGAAACAACCCAGACCGCCAGCUAAGGUCCCAAAGUCAUGGUUAAGUGGGAAACGAUGUGGGAAGGCCCAGACAGCCAGGAUGUUGGCUUAGAAGCAGCCAUCAUUUAAAGAAAGCGUAAUAGCUCACUGGUCGAGUCGGCCUGCGCGGAAGAUGUAACGGGGCUAAACCAUGCACCGAAGCUGCGGCAGCGACGCUUAUGCGUUGUUGGGUAGGGGAGCGUUCUGUAAGCCUGCGAAGGUGUGCUGUGAGGCAUGCUGGAGGUAUCAGAAGUGCGAAUGCUGACAUAAGUAACGAUAAAGCGGGUGAAAAGCCCGCUCGCCGGAAGACCAAGGGUUCCUGUCCAACGUUAAUCGGGGCAGGGUGAGUCGACCCCUAAGGCGAGGCCGAAAGGCGUAGUCGAUGGGAAACAGGUUAAUAUUCCUGUACUUGGUGUUACUGCGAAGGGGGGACGGAGAAGGCUAUGUUGGCCGGGCGACGGUUGUCCCGGUUUAAGCGUGUAGGCUGGUUUUCCAGGCAAAUCCGGAAAAUCAAGGCUGAGGCGUGAUGACGAGGCACUACGGUGCUGAAGCAACAAAUGCCCUGCUUCCAGGAAAAGCCUCUAAGCAUCAGGUAACAUCAAAUCGUACCCCAAACCGACACAGGUGGUCAGGUAGAGAAUACCAAGGCGCUUGAGAGAACUCGGGUGAAGGAACUAGGCAAAAUGGUGCCGUAACUUCGGGAGAAGGCACGCUGAUAUGUAGGUGAAGUCCCUCGCGGAUGGAGCUGAAAUCAGUCGAAGAUACCAGCUGGCUGCAACUGUUUAUUAAAAACACAGCACUGUGCAAACACGAAAGUGGACGUAUACGGUGUGACGCCUGCCCGGUGCCGGAAGGUUAAUUGAUGGGGUUAGCGCAAGCGAAGCUCUUGAUCGAAGCCCCGGUAAACGGCGGCCGUAACUAUAACGGUCCUAAGGUAGCGAAAUUCCUUGUCGGGUAAGUUCCGACCUGCACGAAUGGCGUAAUGAUGGCCAGGCUGUCUCCACCCGAGACUCAGUGAAAUUGAACUCGCUGUGAAGAUGCAGUGUACCCGCGGCAAGACGGAAAGACCCCGUGAACCUUUACUAUAGCUUGACACUGAACAUUGAGCCUUGAUGUGUAGGAUAGGUGGGAGGCUUUGAAGUGUGGACGCCAGUCUGCAUGGAGCCGACCUUGAAAUACCACCCUUUAAUGUUUGAUGUUCUAACGUUGACCCGUGAUCCGGGUUGCGGACAGUGUCUGGUGGGUAGUUUGACUGGGGCGGUCUCCUCCUAAAGAGUAACGGAGGAGCACGAAGGUUGGCUAAUCCUGGUCGGACAUCAGGAGGUUAGUGCAAUGGCAUAAGCCAGCUUGACUGCGAGCGUGACGGCGCGAGCAGGUGCGAAAGCAGGUCAUAGUGAUCCGGUGGUUCUGAAUGGAAGGGCCAUCGCUCAACGGAUAAAAGGUACUCCGGGGAUAACAGGCUGAUACCGCCCAAGAGUUCAUAUCGACGGCGGUGUUUGGCACCUCGAUGUCGGCUCAUCACAUCCUGGGGCUGAAGUAGGUCCCAAGGGUAUGGCUGUUCGCCAUUUAAAGUGGUACGCGAGCUGGGUUUAGAACGUCGUGAGACAGUUCGGUCCCUAUCUGCCGUGGGCGCUGGAGAACUGAGGGGGGCUGCUCCUAGUACGAGAGGACCGGAGUGGACGCAUCACUGGUGUUCGGGUUGUCAUGCCAAUGGCACUGCCCGGUAGCUAAAUGCGGAAGAGAUAAGUGCUGAAAGCAUCUAAGCACGAAACUUGCCCCGAGAUGAGUUCUCCCUGACUCCUUGAGAGUCCUGAAGGAACGUUGAAGACGACGACGUUGAUAGGCCGGGUGUGUAAGCGCAGCGAUGCGUUGAGCUAACCGGUACUAAUGAACCGUGAGGCUUAACCUUACAACGCCGAAGGUGUUU
This 2933-nucleotide ribosomal RNA is filed under the name Escherichia coli. RNAcentral describes it as "bacterial LSU rRNA". It matches the Rfam family "Bacterial large subunit ribosomal RNA". The record is from RNAcentral. Lineage: Bacteria; Pseudomonadati; Pseudomonadota; Gammaproteobacteria; Enterobacterales; Enterobacteriaceae.